UACGGGGGGUGCAAGCGUUGCUCGGAAUCACUGGGCGUAAAGCGUCCGCAGGCGGCUUGAUAAGUCGGGUGUGAAAGCCCGGGGCCCAACCCCGGAACUGCAUUCGAAACUGUCUGGCUUGAGUACGGGAGAGGGUCGUGGAAUUCCUGGUGUAGAGGUGAAAUUCGUAGAUAUCUGGAGGAACACCGGUGGCGAAGGCGGCAUCCUGGACCAACACUGACGCUGAGGAGCGAAAGCCAGGGGAGCAAACGGG
This 253-nucleotide ribosomal RNA is filed under the name uncultured bacterium. Its description in RNAcentral is "partial 16S ribosomal RNA". It matches the Rfam family "Bacterial small subunit ribosomal RNA", at positions 524 to 776 of the family's 1533-position model. The record is from RNAcentral.